Long non-coding RNA from Canis lupus familiaris (dog), 1799 nucleotides. RefSeq lists it as uncharacterized. Lineage: Eukaryota; Metazoa; Chordata; Mammalia; Carnivora; Canidae. The record is from RefSeq and is a predicted model, not a curated record. The transcript has 4 exons.
CUUAACUUACACAAAAGUCCCCACAGAAGCUGGCAUCUGAGCCGAGACCCAGAGAGUGACAGUUUGCUGGUCAGAUACGGAUGGCGAGAGAAGCUUGGAGGACACCAUGAUAGCUAAGUACCCAGACAUGAGGAAGAUAUGAAGGAUGUCAUCUGGUGAAAUUGGAGAGAAAACGAGGAAAGAAGUCGUCAAGGGAUCUAGGAAACCAUGGACUUGACCCAAGGAAGCCAGCACAGUACCUAAGGAGAUCCUGAUCCCAGUCCCAGCUCCGGGGCAGACCCUGGUUAAUCAGGAUACAACCAUACAUUUCACCAGGGAUCCACUUAAGAAGAAAGGACUUAGCCAGGUGGAUGUGAUUAUCCUGUUCUCAGGAUUUGUCACCUAGUUAAGGAAUCAUUCUCUGUGAGAGAAUGCUUUUCUGGGUGCUUCUGGGAAAAAAGCAUCCUGGCUCUUAAGGGAGAUACCGCAGGAACUGAUUGCUGUUUCUGUGGAUUCGAAGCCCAGGACUGCUAUAGUCACCUUCUACUACCUCCAAGGGGAAAGCAUCACCUGCUGGAGGGCAGAACUGGGGAGAAUCAAAGACCCUGUGCCAGAGCCCUGCCUCACCCAAGCCUGCACACCAAGCUGCUUCUGGAUGUGCUUUCUUCUGAGAGCCAGUAAUUCUCUCAUGGAGACAGGGAGGGUGAGAAGUAAUCAGCCAUGAGGAGCAGAGAAGAGAUGCCGGCCAAGCCAGAGGAAGGCAGCACGACAAGCUCUCCUUACCCAACUCCCAGCCCCGAGCUCCUUCCCUCUGACCUAGACAGCAGGUGGAUGUGUUGACCUCCAGGCAGCAACCCUACCACUGGCAGGCUGGGCGGGUGAAGCAAUGUCUUAAUCUCCGUGGCUUUGGGCUUUUCACCUGCAGGCUGGGGCUAGCAACACCUACCUCACAUUCACUUGCUUAGAAAUACUGUUGAGGGGCACUUGGGUGGCUCAGCCAGUAAGCAUCCAACUUGGUUUUGGCUCAGGUCAUGAUAAAGGGGUUGUGAGAUCAAGCCCCACAUCAAGCUCUGUGCUCAGCAGGGAAUCUGCUUGAUAUUCUCUCCCUCUGUCCCACCCUCUGGUAGGCUCACUCUCUCUCAAAUAAAUAAAUACAUCUUGUUUUAAAAAAAGAAUUAUUUUGAUACCUAUCUUGUUGCUUCCUGUGAAUCCCAGCUGUCAAGAGGAAAACAUUUGGCGAUCCAUGGAACAUGCCAGAUACAGUCUGUGUUCUGCACACAGCCAUCUCCUUCUUUGCUAAGUCCUGUUUGACCAACCACAUCUCUGUUCCAAAUCCCCAUGAACUUUUCCCUCCCACACAGGAAAAAGUCCACAUUCUAUUAGUGACUGGACUCUUAACAGUUAAGGCGUUCACGGGGAAAAAAAAUUAUCAAAACUGAGGCUGUGCUUAUUCUCUGACCAAGUCAAGUCAUUUCUAGGAAUUUAUGUUGUGGACACACAGCAGAGCAAUACACACAUGCAGAGUGUCUGUUGUGGUAUUGCUUGUAACAAGAAAAAUAAAACAAAAAUACACACCCAUGGAGGAAGACUGAAAUAAAGGACAGCAUAUGAACUACCAGAGAGAGGCUGCGUGUCGCUUAGCAUGCACCUGGCUCUCGGGAAAUAUGGGAUACAGAAAAUGCUGUGAAGCCAUUUCAACGAAAAGGGAUCUAAAGCAACUGAGACCCAUAAGUGAAAAGAAGGCAAGUAGUAGAACAGUGUGUAUGGUUUGCUUCUAUUUUGCUUAAAAGAUCCCCUUUCUCUCGCUCUUUAAAUGCAUU